GCGUGACACGAUGUAAACUUGACCCCGAUUCGCCCUCCCAACUUUUGUAGGAUUAACCUUGACCCCGUCUUCAUCCCUCCCCGGAUAUUUCCCAAUUAUAAGUAUCACUUACUCCACGGCUCACUUUUAUUUUUCCAUUCGAUGCCCUUCCAACAACGUUUGGUUUCCCUCUUGUGCUACAGAACAAAUACGCGAGAAGGGCCUGGCCCGCUGAGCCUUUCUGAAGGCUAGCGGUUGAAGCUGAGGAUGUCAAAAUGGAGAACGAACAGCCUUUCCUUAACUGCAUCGAACACCUUGGAAGGGGCACGUCGACGAGCCACCUGCAUCGGAAGGGUUGGUGUUGCCCCUGCGCACAACCUGCCCCUCCUCGGAUACGGAGUGGUGCUGACCAGCCAACGGUUGCCACCAUUCUGGACAGAUCUGCUGGGAAGGGGGAAGUACUUUUGGCACGUGGUAGCAGCGAGCACAAAGCAGACGGAUAGCGAGCAGAAGAGUCGCGUUGAGCGUUGGAUAGUCGACUUUUGUCACAGAUCUCGGUGUGUGUGUGUGUGUGUGUUGUGAACGGACAGGUGGAUGUUUGGGGCUGUUCGGCACCCCUCAAGCUCGACUGUGCAUCGAGUGCGGUGCGACUGAAUGGAUGCAUCGUGAGGAAGUGGAAGUGCGCGAGGCGGUGGAGUCUACAAU
This 684-nucleotide long non-coding RNA is filed under the name Androctonus crassicauda. Lineage: Eukaryota; Metazoa; Arthropoda; Arachnida; Scorpiones; Buthidae. The record is from RNAcentral.